ACGAGGUGGAAAUGUAGGUCAAUU
RNAcentral lists this non-coding RNA (24 nucleotides) under Cricetulus griseus (Chinese hamster). Lineage: Eukaryota; Metazoa; Chordata; Mammalia; Rodentia; Cricetidae. The record is from RNAcentral.